GAUACUUUCUUGUGAACACAAAAAGUUUGAUACUAUUUCAAAUGUUUUCCGCGGUAGGUCGGUACUUAACGACAGCACCCGCUUCUGACCUCCUAGACUCCUAGCCUUCGCCUGAGCUCCACCUCCGGUGCUUUUAACCCAGACGUGUAAAUGGGAAUAGGGUUUAGCUCAUCUCUAUCUGGUAAGCAGACUCUUCAACUCGCAUCAAUUUGCUCUUAAUUUCACCUAAGUAGAGUUGGGUUUCCUUCAAUUUUGUGAAUUUCAUAACCAUGGAUCCACGUUUCUCUGAAUUUCCCAGUUUCAAUGAUCAAACCCUUUUGCCUGAUAUGUUGAGUGAGUACCCAAGUAGUGAUCCUUCUCAAGAUCUUAGCUUUUUGGACCCAAAUCCCAGUAACUCUUCAUCAAGCUUUAGCCCUGAGGGAGAUGAUAGUGAGUUUUCUGACAGUGUCCUCAAGUACAUAAACCAGGUGCUUAUUAAGGAGGAAAUGCAAUCAAAACCCUGUAUGUUCCAUGACCCUUUGGCUCUUCAAGCCACUGAGGAGUCUCUUCAUGAGAUUAUUGGAGGAGGGAAAAACCCAACUUCCCAACACCUAAACCCUCUUUGUGUUGAUCAAAAUGUGUAUGGAAAUGGGAAUGGGAAUGGGAUGCUGGGUUCUUAUAGGAGUGAGCUAAUUGUUCCUGAUAUGCUUAGUAAGAGUGAAUUGUUAUUGCAAUUUAACCUAGGGGCAGAGGAGGGUAGUAAGUUUCUUCCUAGAGGUCAAUUGAUUAGUGCAGAGGGCAACAAGCCGUAUGCUGUGGCAGAUAGAAAGGCUGGAGAUGUGGUAGUCCCGACCCAGAAGAAUGGGAGUGAGCAUUUUCGUGUUGGUUCUAGAGGAAAGAAAAAUCAUCAAAGGGAAGAUAUAGAUUUGGAGGAUGGGAGGAGUAACAAGCAAUCGGCGGUUUAUAUGGAUGGUGAGGAGGGUGAGCUGUCUCAUAUUUUUGACAAGGUGUUGCUCUCCAAGCCUAUCAAGAGUAAAGACGAUCAAGUCAGUCAGAAUGGAGCAAACAAUAGCCCGCAGCAGGAUGGGCUAUCUGUUGGAAUUGGUAAUGGGAAGGUUUGUGGCAAGAAUCAAGGCAACAAGAAGGAAGUGAUAGAUUUGAGGGCUCUUCUGAUUUCAUGUGCAGAAGCUGUAUCUGUUGAUGACCGCGAGACUGCUAGUGAGCUACUAAAGCAGAUUAUGCAGCACUCUUCCCCAUUUGGUGAUUGUACUCAGAGGUUGGCUCAUUGCUUUGCAAAUGCUCUUGAAGCGCGGUUGGCUGGCACAGAACCUCAAAUAUAUACUGCUUUAACUACUAAACGAAUGUCAGCUGCUGAUUCGCUGAAGUUUUACCAAGCUUAUAUUGCAGUCUGCCCGUUCAUGAAGUUGUUGAUGAUCUUUGCAAACGAUAUGAUUUUAAAAGCUGCUGAGAAAGCAGAAACACUACAUAUAAUAGAUUUUGGUAUCCGUUAUGGUUUUCAAUGGCCAGCUCUCAUUCAUUGCCUCUCAAGAAGACCUGGUGGACCUCCGAAAUUACGCAUUACAGGGUUAGAGUUUCCCUCAAGUGGUUUUCGACCAGAAGAAGGAGUCCAAGAGACAGGGCAUCGCUUGGCAAAGUAUUGUAGGCGAUUUAAUGUUCCUUUUGAGUACUAUGGCAUAGCCAAAAAAUGGGAAACUCUCCAAUUUGAUGACCUUAGAGUUCAAAGAAAUGAGGUGCUUGCUGUUAAUUGUCUCAACCGAUUCAAGUACCUCCUUGAUGAGACUGUUGUGGUAAACAGUCCACGGGAUACUGUUCUAAAUUUAAUUAGGAAUUUGAAUCCUGAUGUCUUUGUCCAGAGUGUUGUUAAUGGAUCCCAUCAUGCACCCUUCUUUGUUCCACGCUUCCGAGAGGCACUAUUCCACUUCUCUGCAUUGUUUGAUAUGUUGGAUACCAAUUUGCCUCGUGAAGAUCAGAUGAGAUUGGGGUUUGAGAAAGAGUUUAUUGGACGUGAAGUUGUGAAUAUAGUAGCUUGUGAGGGCUUUCAAAGAAUUGUUAGGCCAGAAACAUACAAGCAGUGGCAGAUUCGAAACAUGAGGGCUGGGUUCAGACAGCUGCCAUUGGACCGUGAAGUCAUGAACAAAAUAAAGGAUAAGGUAAAAAUGGGGUACCACCCUUCUUUUGUGGUUGAUGAAGAUGGCCACUGGAUGCUGCAUGAAUGGAAGGGCAGAAUUCUGUAUGCUUCCGCCUGUUGGGCACAUUCUAGGACUUGAAAUGCUUGACUGUUAGAAUUGACUCGGACAAAUUGGCAAACACGUCAUCUUUCCAACCUUGAAGUACUUCUUCUAACUUGUGGAAGAUAAAAUUGUAAGAAGAGGAAGACAAAAACGAAGAAGAAAAAGCACAGAAACAAAGAGUCGUUUAAAGACUUGUUAGAAUCGGCAGUGUUUUUUGAAUCGACUGCUCCAUUUCUUUCUGGUAUGUAUCCAGUUCAUUAAUGAAGGCAACCUUUGUACUUUCCAAAAGACAUGGACUGAUAUAGAAACAGAGUAGUGCAGCAGAAGAUGUCAUCUGAGAUUCAGAAUCGGUGUAUGGUGAAAAUCUGAAGCCUAAUAUGGCUACAUACUAAAGCAUAGGUGUCCUCAUGAGAUGACUCAUCACAAUAGCGUAAACAUACCAUUUUAAUGAUGGAAACCACUGAUUUGAUAGAACAGUCACAAAACCGAUAUUAAAGGUGGCCUCAUCAACUCAGAUGCAACUCAAUAAGGGCAGUGAAUCUGUGAUGCCAUAUAUUUUCUCAUGCUCUGCAAUGCAUCUUACUGUAUCCACGAAGGAUAUUUGGUGCUACGAUUUAUUUGUUUUUUUUUUUUUGUUAGAGUUUAGGAUUUUGAGUGUCAACUCAAUUGAGCAAACAUUUGAUGAGACUUUACGUGCUUUAUUGAGCAAAUGAGUUGUGCGUUCAUCACACCUUUUUUGGUGUUUAUGGUGUGCUGAAAGCGGAUCACCGUUUGUAAUAUAGUCUAUGAUUAAAGUACAUUAGAGGAUCCAUUUCCAGGAGAGUCUCUUUGUAAUAUUUUUCUUU
RNA transcript from Rosa chinensis, 3076 nucleotides. It is a transcript of the gene named scarecrow-like protein 14, with no coding region annotated. The transcript has 2 exons. The record is from RefSeq and is a predicted model, not a curated record. Lineage: Eukaryota; Viridiplantae; Streptophyta; Magnoliopsida; Rosales; Rosaceae.